Long non-coding RNA from Hibiscus syriacus, 915 nucleotides. RefSeq lists it as uncharacterized. The transcript has 3 exons. The record is from RefSeq and is a predicted model, not a curated record. NCBI's taxonomy places the organism in Eukaryota, Viridiplantae, Streptophyta, Magnoliopsida, Malvales, Malvaceae.
UCAAACUCUGAAUCAAGGUGCUGAAAUCAGAGAAGUUCAUAACUUUUAGUACUGCCACUCAAGCUUUGCCACCGGAGGAAUCUUUUUCAAUGAACCCUUUUGAUCAUGUGCUGGUGGAUGGAGACAUGAAUGCUAGUGGUGAAAGAGGUGUUGAUCAUCCUUUUAUUAUUGGCUUUGCUGCAACCAUGGAUAGCAAUGGAAUCAGUGUGAGCGGUGAAACAGAUGUACAGGAAGAUAACAUCGCAGAAAAUAGCAAUAUUGCCCCUGAAAGUCGAGCUUACUGACUGCACUAACGGCAAUGGGAUGCAGAGUUGUAUGACCCCAAUAUGAAAGUCACAGAUCCAAUAUUUCAAGAAACUAAGGCUUCUGAGGUUCCCAGCACUGAAUAUGCAGAAGAGAUAGCAAAUGCACCUAUAAAAUGGAAGUUGAGAACAAUGAUGAUCUUGAUGAUCAAGGUGAAGAAGUUGGACUUGAACAUAAUCGUAGCUCUUCCUUCGAAAUAGAUGGUUUAAUGUCAACUGCGGAUAACAUUUCGUUGGUUGGCACAUUGGAGCAAUUAAACAGUACUAUCCUCAAUCUGGAACAAAAGUUGAUGAUCCAGACAGAAAGGAUAGUGAUGCAACAAAACAAUUAGACACUUCCUUCACCAUUGAAGAAGCUGGGGUCUUGGAUGGUGAAAAAGCAAUUGUUUCUCAACAGAGAUCUUUUCAUGGUGUUGAAGAGGAAGAUAUCUCAUCAUCUGCUGAUACGCCUUGUAGUAAGACAAAGAACAUUCACAAGCUAUGGAUGAUAUCGAUGUGGUGGGAACUGAAAUCUCUACUGAAUGCGAAAUUACAAGGGAGGAAAGAGAUGGGUGCCAAACCAAUUCCGGAGGUUUUAAUUAUGUAAUGAUGGUACCUUGGAAGAAAUUGUUGG